UACGGGGGGGGCAAGCGUUGUUCGGAAUUACUGGGCGUAAAGGGCGCGUAGGCGGCCACCGCAAGUCGACUGUGAAAUCUCCGGGCUUAACCCGGAAAGGUCAGCCGAUACUGCGGGGCUAGAGUGCAGAAGGGGCAACUGGAAUUCUCGGUGUAGCGGUGAAAUGCGUAGAUAUCUGGAGGAACACCGGUGGCGAAGGCGGCAUUCUGGACCGAAACUGACGCUGAGGCGCGAAAGCCAGGGGAGCAAACGGG
Molecule: ribosomal RNA, 254 nt
Filed under: uncultured bacterium
Lineage: Bacteria
Description: partial 16S ribosomal RNA
Rfam family: Bacterial small subunit ribosomal RNA
Source: RNAcentral